Molecule: RNA transcript, 719 nt
Organism: Saimiri boliviensis boliviensis (Bolivian squirrel monkey)
Lineage: Eukaryota; Metazoa; Chordata; Mammalia; Primates; Cebidae
Gene name: late cornified envelope protein 1F
Source: RefSeq, a predicted model, not a curated record
ACUCACCUCCUGAGGUGCUGAAGGACCCUGUGCUGCCUGUGACCUCGCUCCUGAACACCCGCCCCCGAGAUGUCCUGCCAGCAGAGCCAACAGCAGUGCCAGCCUCCUCCCAAGUGCACCCCCAAGUGCCCUCCCAAGUGCCCCGCCCCUAAGUGCCCCCCCAAAUGCCCCCCUAAGUGCCCUCCAGUGUCUUCCUGCUGCAGCGUCAGCUCUGGGGGCUGCUGUGGCUCCAGCUCUGGGGGCUGUUGCAGUUCCGGGGGAGAUGGCUGCUGCCUGAGCCACCACAGGCGCCGCAGGUCCCACCGCCACAGACCCCAGAGCUCUGACUGCUGCAGCCAGCCCUCAGGGGGCUCCAGCUGCUGCGGAGGGGGCUCCAGCUGCUGUGGAGGGGGCAGCAGCCAGCAUUCUGGAGGCUGCUGCUGAAGCGGACCCUGAGCCUAGAAGAGGAGACGUGGGUGAAAGGAGUGAUCAGAUAGAUAUUUCCUCCUCAUCUUUCUCCUCCUGGGCCUGCGUGAGUGGCUGAGAUGCCCUGGUGAAGGCUCUGAGCUCUGGCCUGGAGGAUCCCUCUGCGCCAGGGAUCCAGAAGUUUGAUUCUUCUCCCACAGACCUAUCUGUGUUGUCUACUAUGGGAUCCCAAACCGCAGACUCAGAUUCACUCUCCAGCUCAUUUCCUGCAGCCACAAGUGAAACAAUAAAGCAAAAGCUCUUCUUGCCAUUUA